Sciurus carolinensis (gray squirrel) is the source of this 107-nucleotide small nuclear RNA. NCBI's taxonomy places the organism in Eukaryota, Metazoa, Chordata, Mammalia, Rodentia, Sciuridae. The record is from RefSeq and is a predicted model, not a curated record.
GUGCUUGCUUUGGCAGCACAUACACUAAAAGUGGAACGAUACAGAGAAGAUUAGCAUGGCCCCUGUGCAAAGAUGAAAGGCAAAUUCAUGAAGCAUUCCAUAUUUUU